Molecule: ribosomal RNA, 465 nt
Filed under: uncultured Rhodoferax sp.
Lineage: Bacteria; Pseudomonadati; Pseudomonadota; Betaproteobacteria; Burkholderiales; Comamonadaceae
Description: bacterial SSU rRNA
Rfam family: Bacterial small subunit ribosomal RNA
Source: RNAcentral
GACGGGACCGCACAAGCGGUGGAUGAUGUGGUUUAAUUCGAUGCAACGCGAAAACCUUACCACCUUUGACAUGUACGGAAGCCUUUAGAGAUAGAGGCGUGCUCGAAAGAGAGCCGUAACACAGGUGCUGCAUGGCUGUCGUCAGCUCGUGUCGUGAGAUGUUGGGUUAAGUCCCGCAACGAGCGCAACCCUUGUCAUUAGUUGCUACAUUCAGUUGGGCACUCUAAUGAGACUGCCGGUGACAAGCCGGAGGAAGUGGGGAUGACGUCAAGUCCUCAUGGCCCUUAUAGGUGGGGCUACACACGUCAUACAAUGGCUGGUACAAAGGGUUGCCAACCCGCGAGGGGGAGCUAAUCCCAUAAAGCCAGUCGUAGUCCGGAUCGUAGUCUGCAACUCGACUACGUGAAGUCGGAAUCGCUAGUAAUCGUGGAUCAGAAUGUCACGGUGAAUACGUUCCCGGGUCUU